Molecule: ribosomal RNA, 403 nt
Filed under: Fusobacteriota bacterium
Lineage: Bacteria; Fusobacteriati; Fusobacteriota
Description: Fusobacteria bacterium partial 16S ribosomal RNA
Rfam family: Bacterial small subunit ribosomal RNA
Source: RNAcentral
UGGGGAAUAUUGCACAAUGGCGGGAACUCUGAUGCAGCGACGCCGCGUGAACGAAGAAGGCUUUCGAGUCGUAAAGUUCUUUUAUAUGGGAAGAUAAUGACGGUACCAUAAGAAAAAGCCCCGGCUAACUACGUGCCAGCAGCCGCGGUAAUACGUAGGGGGCUAGCGUUGUCCGGAAUAACUGGGCGUAAAGGGUUCGCAGGCGGAAAUGCAAGUCAGGUGUAAAAGGCAGUAGCUUAACUACUGUAAGCAUUUGAAGCUGCAUAUCUUGAGAAGAGUAGAGGUAAGUUGAAUUUUUAGUGUAGCGGUGAAAUGAGUAGAUAUUAAAAAGAAUACCGGUGGCGAAGGCGACUUACUGGGCUCAUUCUGACGCUGAGGAACGAAAGCGUAGGUAGCAAACAGG